CAAAGGUCACAAUCAACAUUCAUUGCUGUCGGUGGGUUGGAUUGUAAAAGAAAGCUCACUGAACAAUGAAUGCAACUGUGUCCCAGAUU
Danio rerio (zebrafish) is the source of this 89-nucleotide microRNA precursor. Ensembl annotates it as dre-mir-181b-3. Its record names the gene dre-mir-181b-3. The record is from Ensembl. Lineage: Eukaryota; Metazoa; Chordata; Actinopteri; Cypriniformes; Danionidae.